AUACGAAAGGUGCAAGCGUUGUUCGGAUUUACUGGGCGUAAAGAGAGUGUAGGUUGUUUAUUAAGUCGGAUGUGAAAUCCCGGGGCUCAACCUCGGAACUGCAUUCGAUACUGGUAGACUAGAGUUCGGGAGGGGUAAGCGGAAUUCCGUGUGUAGCAGUGAAAUGCGUAGAUAUACGGAGGAACACCUGAGGCGAAGGCGGCUUACUGGACCAAUACUGACACUGAGACUCGAAAGCGUGGGUAGCAAACAGGAUUAGAAACCCGGGUAGUCC
RNAcentral lists this ribosomal RNA (274 nucleotides) under uncultured bacterium. RNAcentral's name for it is "partial 16S ribosomal RNA". It matches the Rfam family "Bacterial small subunit ribosomal RNA", at positions 523 to 796 of the family's 1533-position model. The record is from RNAcentral.